Molecule: long non-coding RNA, 337 nt
Filed under: Phoenix dactylifera (date palm)
Lineage: Eukaryota; Viridiplantae; Streptophyta; Magnoliopsida; Arecales; Arecaceae
Description: long non-coding RNA (PDAC_LNC007564)
Source: RNAcentral
UGAGAUAUGUAGAUUUGAUAGAUUAGGGAGGUGAUAUUUGUACACCCACAAAAAAUUGAUAAGAAGAUCUUUAAGAUUGCAUGAAUAAUUGAAAAGGAGAAAGGGUUUUCCAUGGGGGAGAGAGGGUUUUUGGAGCCCUAUAUACUAUGCACCCAUCCAAUAGGAUCAUACAAUUUUGUGCGUAUAGAAGUAUGAGCCUAAUCUUUUGUGUCUAGGACUGGCGAGGGUGCCUCACUUUUAUUUAGAGCCUUCUUUAAUAGUAUUCUCAAACUUUAUCUAGGCUAGAGUUCAAUAGAUUCGCCUUAUCCACUCCUUUUUUAGAUUUUAUAGUUCUCAA